UCCGGCGGCCAUGGCGGAGGGGCCACACCCGUUCCCAUUCCGAACACGGAAGUUAAGCCCUCCUGCGCCGAUGGUACUAGUCGGGUGACUGGCUGGGAGAGUAGGUCGCCGCCGGAU
This 117-nucleotide ribosomal RNA is filed under the name Candidatus Fermentibacterota bacterium. Lineage: Bacteria; Pseudomonadati; Candidatus Fermentibacterota. The record is from RNAcentral.